Molecule: ribosomal RNA, 497 nt
Filed under: uncultured bacterium
Lineage: Bacteria
Description: partial 16S ribosomal RNA
Rfam family: Bacterial small subunit ribosomal RNA
Source: RNAcentral
GAUGAACGCUGGCGGCGUGCCUAAUACAUGCAAGUCGAGCGAAAAGACGAGGAGCUUGCUCCUCUGACGUUAGCGGCGGACGGGUGAGUAACACGGGGAUAACAUAACUAUAAGAAUGGGAUAACAUCGGGAAACCGGAGCUAAUAACGGAUAAUAUAUUGAACCGCAAGGUUCAAGAGUGAAAGACGGUAUUGGUGUCAGUUAUAGAUGGACCAGCGCCGGAUUAGUUAGUUGGUAAGGUAAAGGCUUACCAAGGCUACGAUGCUGAGCCGCCCUGAGAGGGUGAUCGCCCACCCUGUAUCUGAGACACGUUCCAGACUCCUACGGUAGGCAGCAGUAGGGAAUCUUCCGCAAUGCGCGAAAGCCUGACGUAGCACCGCCGCGUGAGUGCUGAAGGUCUUCUGCUCGUAAAACUCUGUUAUUAUGGAAGAACAAAUGUGUAAGUAACUAUGCUCGUCUUGACGGUACCUAAUCAGAAAGCCACGGCUAACUACGUG